Long non-coding RNA from Poeciliopsis prolifica (blackstripe livebearer), 269 nucleotides. RefSeq lists it as uncharacterized. The transcript is spliced from 3 exons. NCBI's taxonomy places the organism in Eukaryota, Metazoa, Chordata, Actinopteri, Cyprinodontiformes, Poeciliidae. The record is from RefSeq and is a predicted model, not a curated record.
GUUGACGUGAACCAAUUAAGUUGAAUGCAGUUUUACGUCUGACGUCAUUACGCAAGCUUUGCCCGAGACAGAUCCACUUCUUGUACCGACCGCUUGUGCAGCCGCCAUUUCUUCUGACCAUCGACUGUCCACCGGAUUGUAAAACAGCCUGGAGCCAAGCAUCAUCAGACCAUAGAAGAUUGCCAUGGCAAGUUCAAAACCUGCAAGACUGAAGGUGAUUCUAGGAGAGAGCAACACUGAAAAACUGACUCUUUCAAAUGGCAUACCAG